CCGAAUGGGGAAACCCAGUGUGACUCGUCACACUAUCAUUAACUGAAUCCAUAGGUUAAUGAGGCGAACCGGGGGAACUGAAACAUCUAAGUACCCCGAGGAAAAGAAAUCAACCGAGAUUCCCCCAGUAGCGGCGAGCGAACGGGGAGGAGCCCAGAGCCUGAAUCAGCAUGUGUGUUAGUGGAAGCGUCUGGAAAGGCGCGCGAUACAGGGUGACAGCCCCGUACACAAAAGCGCAUAUGCUGUGAGCUCGAUGAGUAGGGCGGGACACGUGGUAUCCUGUCUGAAUAUGGGGGGACCAUCCUCCAAGGCUAAAUACUCCUGACUGACCGAUAGUGAACCAGUACCGUGAGGGAAAGGCGAAAAGAACCCCGGCGAGGGGAGUGAAAAAGAACCUGAAACCGUGUACGUACAAGCAGUGGGAGCCCCACCACUAAGCCAGUGGUGAACUCCACAUACGCAUCCUUUGCUGAGGAUACGGUUAACGGAGCGAAAGCGACGUUCAACCGCAAAAGAAGCAGAGGGGGCUUAGUGGUGGGGUGACUGCGUACCUUUUGUAUAAUGGGUCAGCGACUUAUAUUCUGUAGCAAGGUUAACCGAAUAGGGGAGCCGGAGGGAAACCGAGUCUUAACCGGGCGUUAAGUUGCAGGGUAUAGACCCGAAACCCGGUGAUCUAGCCAUGGGCAGGUUGAAGGUUGGGUAACACUAACUGGAGGACCGAACCGACUAAUGUUGAAAAAUUAGCGGAUGACCUGUGGCUGGGGGUGAAAGGCCAAUCAAACCGGGAGAUAGCUGGUUCUCCCCGAAAGCUAUUUAGGUAGCGCCUCGUGAAUUCAUCUCCGGGGGUAGAGCACUGUUUCGGCUAGGGGGCCAUCCCGGCUUACCAACCCGAUGCAAACUGCGAAUACCGGAGAAUGUUAUCACGGGAGACACACGGCGGGUGCUAACGUCCGUCGUGAAGAGGGAAACAACCCAGACCGCCAGCUAAGGUCCCAAAGUCAUGGUUAAGUGGGAAACGAUGUGGGAAGGCCCAGACAGCCAGGAUGUUGGCUUAGAAGCAGCCAUCAUUUAAAGAAAGCGUAAUAGCUCACUGGUCGAGUCGGCCUGCGCGGAAGAUGUAACGGGGCUAAACCAUGCACCGAAGCUGCGGCAGCGAACGUAUCACUUAAAGCGAUUCAGCGGGUUACGAUUGACGGAGCGAAGCGACGUCAAAGCGUAUACAAAGUCGAGUCGGUUUAAGGAUACGUUCGUUGGGUAGGGGAGCGUUCUGUAAGCCUGUGAAGGUGUGCUGUGAGGCAUGCUGGAGGUAUCAGAAGUGCGAAUGCUGACAUAAGUAACGAUAAAGCGGGUGAAAAGCCCGCUCGCCGGAAGACCAAGGGUUCCUGUCCAACGUUAAUCGGGGCAGGGUGAGUCGACCCCUAAGGCGAGGCCGAAAGGCGUAGUCGAUGGGAAACGGGUUAAUAUUCCCGUACUUGGUGUUACUGCGAAGGGGGGACGGAGAAGGCUAUGUUGGCCGGGCGACGGUUGUCCCGGUUUAAGCGUGUAGGUGUGUGUUCCAGGUAAAUCCGGUUCACUUUAACACUGAGGCGUGA
RNAcentral lists this ribosomal RNA (1592 nucleotides) under Salmonella enterica subsp. enterica serovar Muenster. RNAcentral's name for it is "bacterial LSU rRNA". It matches the Rfam family "Bacterial large subunit ribosomal RNA", at positions 114 to 1566 of the family's 2925-position model. The record is from RNAcentral. Lineage: Bacteria; Pseudomonadati; Pseudomonadota; Gammaproteobacteria; Enterobacterales; Enterobacteriaceae.